Molecule: ribosomal RNA, 551 nt
Filed under: uncultured bacterium
Lineage: Bacteria
Description: bacterial SSU rRNA
Rfam family: Bacterial small subunit ribosomal RNA
Source: RNAcentral
AUUGCACAAUGGGCGAAAGCCUGAUGCAGCCAUGCCGCGUGUAUGAAGAAGGCCUUCGGGUUGUAAAGUACUUUCAGUUGUGAGGAAGGGUGUGUAGUUAAUAGCUGCAUAUCUUGACGUUAGCAACAGAAGAAGCACCGGCUAACUCCGUGCCAGCAGCCGCGGUAAUACGGAGGGUGCGAGCGUUAAUCGGAAUUACUGGGCGUAAAGCGCAUGCAGGUGGUUCAUUAAGUCAGAUGUGAAAGCCCGGGGCUCAACCUCGGAACUGCAUUUGAAACUGGUGAACUAGAGUGCUGUAGAGCGGGGUAGAAUUUCAGGUGUAGCGGUGAAAUGCGUAGAGAUCUGAAGGAAUCCAGUGGCCGAAAGCCGUCCCCUUGACAAGCACUGACCCUCAGAUGCGAAAGCUUGGGGCAGCAAACCGGAUUAGAUACCCUUGUAGUCCACGCUGUAAACGAUGUCUACUUGAGGUUGUGGCCUGAGCCGUGGCUUCGAGCUAACGCGUUAAGUAGACCGCCUGGGGAGUACGUUCGCAUAACUAAGAUGCGGCCGAA